This 569-nucleotide long non-coding RNA is filed under the name Anas platyrhynchos platyrhynchos (common mallard). RNAcentral describes it as "lncRNA (ENSAPLG00000022241.1)". The record is from RNAcentral. Lineage: Eukaryota; Metazoa; Chordata; Aves; Anseriformes; Anatidae.
AUGUGUUGGAUGCUGCGGCUGGUCAACACUGUUCUGAAGUUGUCAAAAGGAUGCAAGCUCAUAUCUAGUCCUGUGAUGCAGAAGGACCACAAGUUGAAGCACAGAAGAAAGCUGGAGCCCCAGCACACAGGUUGGACACCUAACUCUUGAGUGUCAUGGCACUCAUUAAAACCCUGGAACUACAGAGAUCUUCCACAAAACACGCAGUACUGCCUUCUGCUCAUGAUGUGGUCCCACAAUUCUAAGGUAACUGUGUCCUCAGUGGAAGAGUUCCUUAAUUUUGCAUCUGCUUUAAUGUAAAAUUAUAUCAAGUCUCUUCUGCAUGCAGAAAUUCAAUCCCUUACCAGACCGAGCGCAAAGUCCCUCUGUAUUUCAAAGUUUCUGAAGCUUUAACACAACGGAUGCCGCACAAGGCAUCCCAGCUGGCAGCAGGUUCAGCAGCCCACAGGUAGAGACCCACACUUCCAGCCGUGGCCCACAGGCUUGAAGGUAAGAUCCCAUAUGCACUUCUGUUGCACUAACCACUUUGAACGUACAAAAGAAAGAUUUGCAUGUGGAACUUCACCUCG